RNAcentral lists this ribosomal RNA (429 nucleotides) under Gemmatimonadota bacterium. RNAcentral's name for it is "Gemmatimonadetes bacterium partial 16S ribosomal RNA". It matches the Rfam family "Bacterial small subunit ribosomal RNA", at positions 355 to 776 of the family's 1533-position model. Lineage: Bacteria; Pseudomonadati; Gemmatimonadota. The record is from RNAcentral.
UAGGGAAUCUUCGGCAAUGGACGAAAGUCUGACCGAGCAACGCCGCGUGAGUGAAGAAGGUUUUCGGAUCGUAAAACUCUGUUGUUAGAGAAGAACAAGGACGUUAGUAACUGAACGUCCCCUGACGGUAUCUAACCAGAAAGCCACGGCUAACUACGUGCCAGCAGCCGCGGUAAUACGUAGGUGGCAAGCGUUGUCCGGAUUUAUUGGGCGUAAAGCGAGCGCAGGCGGUUUCUUAAGUCUGAUGUGAAAGCCCCCGGCUCAACCGGGGAGGGUCAUUGGAAACUGGGAGUCUUGAGUGCAGAGGAGGAGAGUAGAAUUCCAUGUGUAGCGGUGAAAUGCGUAGAUAUAUGGAGGAACACCAGUGGCGAAGGCGGCUCUCUGGUCUGUAACUGACGCUGAGGCUCGAAAGCGUGGGGAGCAAACAGG